GGAGUUUGGGCCGUGUCUCAGUCCCAAUGUGGCCGGUCGCCCUCUCAGGCCGGCUACGGAUCAUCACCUUGGUAGGCCGUUACCCUGCCAACAAGUUAAUCCGACGCGGGCCCAUCCUGCACCGAUAAAUCUUUCCACCCGGCACCAUGCGGUGCUGUGUGCAUAUGCGGUAUUAACAGUCGUUUCCAACUGUUAUCCCCCUGUGCAGGGCAGGUUACCCACGUGUUACUCACCCAUCCGCCGCUAAGUUAAAUCCGAAAACUUAACUCCGCUCGACUUGCAUGUGUUAGGCACGCCGCCAGCGUUCAUC
This 310-nucleotide ribosomal RNA is filed under the name uncultured Butyrivibrio sp. Its description in RNAcentral is "partial 16S ribosomal RNA". The record is from RNAcentral. Lineage: Bacteria; Bacillati; Bacillota; Clostridia; Lachnospirales; Lachnospiraceae.